This 915-nucleotide ribosomal RNA is filed under the name Escherichia coli. RNAcentral's name for it is "partial 23S ribosomal RNA". It matches the Rfam family "Bacterial large subunit ribosomal RNA", at positions 2034 to 2925 of the family's 2925-position model. The record is from RNAcentral. Lineage: Bacteria; Pseudomonadati; Pseudomonadota; Gammaproteobacteria; Enterobacterales; Enterobacteriaceae.
CAGUGAAAUUGAACUCGCUGUGAAGAUGCAGUGUACCCGCGGCAAGACGGAAAGACCCCGUGAACCUUUACUAUAGCUUGACACUGAACAUUGAGCCUUGAUGUGUAGGAUAGGUGGGAGGCUUUGAAGUGUGGACGCCAGUCUGCAUGGAGCCGACCUUGAAAUACCACCCUUUAAUGUUUGAUGUUCUAACGUGGACCCGUGAUCCGGGUUGCGGACAGUGUCUGGUGGGUAGUUUGACUGGGGCGGUCUCCUCCUAAAGAGUAACGGAGGAGCACGAAGGUUGGCUAAUCCUGGUCGGACAUCAGGAGGUUAGUGCAAUGGCAUAAGCCAGCUUGACUGCGAGCGUGACGGCGCGAGCAGGUGCGAAAGCAGGUCAUAGUGAUCCGGUGGUUCUGAAUGGAAGGGCCAUCGCUCAACGGAUAAAAGGUACUCCGGGGAUAACAGGCUGAUACCGCCCAAGAGUUCAUAUCGACGGCGGUGUUUGGCACCUCGAUGUCGGCUCAUCACAUCCUGGGGCUGAAGUAGGUCCCAAGGGUAUGGCUGUUCGCCAUUUAAAGUGGUACGCGAGCUGGGUUUAGAACGUCGUGAGACAGUUCGGUCCCUAUCUGCCGUGGGCGCUGGAGAACUGAGGGGGGCUGCUCCUAGUACGAGAGGACCGGAGUGGACGCAUCACUGGUGUUCGGGUUGUCAUGCCAAUGGCACUGCCCGGUAGCUAAAUGCGGAAGAGAUAAGUGCUGAAAGCAUCUAAGCACGAAACUUGCCCCGAGAUGAGUUCUCCCUGACUCCUUGAGAGUCCUGAAGGAACGUUGAAGACGACGACGUUGAUAGGCCGGGUGUGUAAGCGCAGCGAUGCGUUGAGCUAACCGGUACUAAUGAACCGUGAGGCUUAACCUUACAACGCCGAAGGUGUUU